RNAcentral lists this long non-coding RNA (233 nucleotides) under Brassica napus (rape). Its description in RNAcentral is "long non-coding RNA (BNAP_LNC014792)". The record is from RNAcentral. Lineage: Eukaryota; Viridiplantae; Streptophyta; Magnoliopsida; Brassicales; Brassicaceae.
AGAGAGAGAGAUAAAGAUGUUACUUUUAGUUAGGUUUUCAAUUUUGAACAAUGUGUAAUAAUGUUUUAUUCUUUGUUUUAUAGGAUAUGAGUAUGCGGAUUUUAAUUUAGACCUAGACGUUCUAACGGUGACGGGACAAAACAUGAAUCGAAGUAAAAUCCUGAAGAAAUUGAAGAAGAUUUUUUACUCUAUCGACAUUCUUCAGACGUUGUGUGUUCCCCCUAAUUAGUAUG